RNAcentral lists this ribosomal RNA (484 nucleotides) under uncultured bacterium. RNAcentral's name for it is "partial 16S ribosomal RNA". It matches the Rfam family "Bacterial small subunit ribosomal RNA", at positions 30 to 507 of the family's 1533-position model. The record is from RNAcentral.
AUUGAACGCUGGCGGCAGGCCUAACACAUGCAAGUCGAGCGGAUGAAGGGAGCUUGCUCCUGGACUCAGCGGCGGACGGGUGAGUAAUGCCUAGGAAUCUGCCUGGUAGUGGGGGAUAACGUCCGGAAACGGGCGCUAAUACCGCAUACGUCCUGAGGGAGAAAGUGGGGGAUCUUCGGACCUCACGCUAUCAGAUGAGCCUAGGUCGGAUUAGCUAGUUGGUGGGGUAAAGGCCUACCAAGGCGACGAUCCGUAACUGGUCUGAGAGGAUGAUCAGUCACACUGGAACUGAGACACGGUCCAGACUCCUACGGGAGGCAGCAGUGGGGAAUAUUGGACAAUGGGCGAAAGCCUGAUCCAGCCAUGCCGCGUGUGUGAAGAAGGUCUUCGGAUUGUAAAGCACUUUAAGUUGGGAGGAAGGGCAGUAAGUUAAUACCUUGCUGUUUUGACGCUACCAACAGAAUAAGCACCGGCUAACUUCGUG